GAUCUCGCUGAGGCUGUAUGGUUCUUGUGGGAAUGGACUGCAGCAGUGCUAGAGCCAGGGCUGCCCCUUGUUAUUUGCCCCUGUAAUUUAGUGUAUGUUCACCCACAGAUUAUAUCAUCUGCAAGGUGGAGAGGAAUUUGUUUUUCUCACCCAGCUGCCGUUAAAUUCCUAAGAAUUAAAAACUUGUUCUUUAGUGAGACCUUGACAUGAGCACUGAUAUCUCCUGGAUGUUUAUUAGCCAAGGCCACAGGGGUCCCUCCUGUGUCCUUCAGCUGAGACAGCUCUCUGGUAGUUAUUGCUUCUGCUAGGAGAACUGAGGAGAUAAACAGGCUGUAACAGUCAGCUUCCCUCACAGAGGUUCUUUCCCUGUGAGAAAGUCACUUUGAGACCUAUUCUGCGUCCCCUCCCCAACAGUGCCUCUGAACUCUCUUUCAUUUCAAAGGUUAAGCAAACAGGCAGAUUAUUUUCUCCUCUACAUGCAUGCUUCCAAGGUUGAAGGACUCGUUUGUACUCGAGUUGCGGAGAACACUUAAUGAUUUUGUUUCACUAAGGCAAAAUGAGAAAGGAAAACGAUAUUUAGGCAAUUUCAUUAGAAAAACAUUUGCUUCUUUGUUUCUGUAACAGAAAGAUUACUGGGUAAUCUCUGCUGUAACUGAUUGGGGAUAGCUGGUUGCAUCAGGUAUGCUGAUGGAGCUAAUAUUGAUGGGCCGAGCAUGCAAAGCAUACGCAUUCCCCUCCGGAAGGCUUGUAAGAUGCCUCAGACCAGGAACUUGCAAAACAGCUGCCCCAUAACGGUAUCCCAAGGUACAAAACAAAAACUAGGCAGGAGGCAGGACAGCUCAGAGCAGUAGCAGAGAGUCAGGGGCAACUGAACUUGCUAGAGCACCAAGGCAGCCCUGCCAGCUGCUGAAGGCUGGGGAGGUCCGAGGAGAGGAGGCAGCUCAGGCAGUUAAUCGCUGCUCGGUGUGGAAGCUGUGGCAUCGAGUGAUGCAGUGAUGACUUCGACCAUUUGGGAACUCACCCUUCAUUCAUGAGGGUUGGCAUCCCGGAUCCCCCCUACCGACACCCCUGCCAGCAGAAAGGACAGGAUAUCUGCAGGUAGCGGAGAAAUCUGCAUGAAUCUGAGCUGUCUUACUGAACUUCAAUAUCUGGGUUUCUGAACUCGAUGCUGUGUGCUACUGUCACAGAGUGCAGAGACUUGUGCAUCUAUAAAACCAGUUACCAUAACCCAGUUAAGUGGUGGGUAUGAUGUGGUGUGAGUCCUUAAAAACUGCUGUGCUCAUUCCUCACCUGGAGUGCAACCUUUAGGAUUAAAGUUUGUUUGAGGUCAGAAGUCCUGUCUCCACAUCAUGUAACUCUACUGCUACAGCUGAAGUAGGAUUGAUGCUUCCGCAGCUGCUCAUUCUUCAGCAGAAGCAGAUGGCACCAGCUGGAGACUCUUACAAUUCACCUUUGCAAAGCUUCUGUAGACUUUCCAAGAUUUAGUAGAGAUUGUGCCUGUCCUUGGAAAGAAGGGAGCAACUAGCUCACGUAGAAACCCAAAAGACACGGAAAUCGUGGCUCUCAGUAGAGGGAUUUUGUUGGUAAAACGUAGUUCGCUUCCAGAAACUUAAUUGCAUUGUUGUCUGAAUAUGAACUGCUUCGUCAUGGGCUUGGAUUAUAUGUCACAAAUAAGGAAAUUGUAAAGCUAAAAAACACCCGGAAUUUUCAAGUGCUGAUGAGACGCCCUCUAUAGGGCUCGGUAGAAGUUGUAAAAGCUGUUCUCUAAGUCUAAAGGACUUGAAAACAGCUGAAAAAAUAAAUUUAUGCUGGAGAAGCUUGUUCCUCUCACCACAUGUUUUCUCUGCUGUUCCUGUUGAGACUUUCUGCUGCAGUGAUCCUCCUUACAGGGAGGAUUCCCAGAGGGCCUGAAACCUUUCCAAUCUUAUUGCUUAUACACUUUCUUUUCUUGACAGAACAAUAUGAAAUAGUUGACCUUGCCCAGAGCAAUAUAUCAUUAAAGCUAAACAAGAUGACACUUUUGUACUGUGUCUUGGUCUGGAGCUGUCUAAAGCACUUUCUGAAUUCUGUGGAACAGGAAGAAAAACUUUCAGGCAAUUGAAAUGCAUGUGAUGCUAACCAAAUCAUGUUUCUUGUUUUAACAUAAAUUUAUGGGUAUAUUAGUACACUUGUUUGAAAUGAAGAAAUUGAGUGGUUUACAGCUCAGAAGCUCAUCUUGAAAUAUUUAUGUAUCAUACAGUAUAUUGAAUUAAUACUUGGACUGGAUAUUUUGAAGAACCUCUGUUUGAGAAUCUACUGACGCGCUUUUGGUUAACAUCUGUGCUUUUCUGGUGACCAGUGGAGGUCUGUCAGGAUGUUUUAUCCCUCAUGUUGGAUAUCAUGUUGGAGAAUAGAGGGAGCCCCACUGGCAUUAGCUACUGUCAACAGCAUUUCAGUCAACGAGGGGCCAGGGAGGGCUAACAGAGGCCAGAGGGGAAGGGGGGGUACACAGCAGUUCUCUGGAUUGAACACAAGAAGACAAGAAUUAAUUUUUGACAGACAAUAAAUCUAGUCUUCCUUUUUUUCCUUUACUUGGGAAGGAAUCCGGCACAUUGUAGGUCCCGUUCAUGCAGUCUUUCUGUCCACUUGCUUAAUUGGGCAAAUAUUUUAAUGUCAUAGUUCUCUUCACCUCCUUCUCCCCGGCACCCCUCAGUCAAUGCUUCAGGGGCUUAUGCAAGCACUGCUUCUGUUACGAUGCUUGUGCCACCCAGGGACCGGUGGCCAGCCUCGGGCUGGCCAGGGUAUUGUAACUGUUGAGCUAAAGAGAAAGAUGCUGCAACCCAUUCAUGAAAACAUGCAGACAGCGUGGGCAAUACCCUGCUCUGGGCAGAGUUCUUGUCUGCCCACUAGCUAGGUGGAGCUCCUUUACUUCAGUUCUCCUCUGUGCUUGCACAGGACGGAUAGCACUGAGCAGGGGGAAUCACAGAGUCAUAGAAUCAUCUAGGUUGGAAAGGACCUUUAAGAUCAUUGAGUCCAGCCAUAAACCUAGCACUGCCAAGUCCCACUAAACCAUGCUGCUAAGUGCCACAUCUACAUGUCUUUUAAGUACCUCCAGGGAUGGUGACCCAACCACUUCCCUCGGCAGCCCGUUCCAGCGCUUGGUAACCCUUUCAGUGAAGAAAUAACCGCAUAAACAGGAUCAUUCUCCUUUCUGCAUGAUCUUUCCCCGUGAUAUACUGGCUGUUGCGUAUUUUUCCCCAUACAUCAGAGCCUUACUAGGCUGGAGUGCCAUUCACAGCACACUUCCCGCCCUGGAGAUUGUAGUC
This is a non-coding RNA of Phalacrocorax carbo (great cormorant), 3305 nucleotides long. NCBI's taxonomy places the organism in Eukaryota, Metazoa, Chordata, Aves, Suliformes, Phalacrocoracidae. The record is from RefSeq and is a predicted model, not a curated record.